CGCAGCCUCGCUCUGGGGCUUGAGCCUGCGCGCUCGUUUCCCGCUCGCCCCGCGCGCCCCGCGCGCCCCGAGCCCCGCGCGCCCCACGCAUCCCGCGCGUCCCCGACCCCGCGCGCGCCUCCCGCAUCCCGCGACCCCGACGCCCGCUCCCCUGUCCGCAGUGUCUCCUCCCGCGGACAUGGCCCUGGUGUUUGCGGCGAGCGCCCGCCAGGGGCCAUGAUCCGGCUGCGCGGCUGGUGCGCGCGGAGGCCCCGCGGCGCAGCGGUGCCUGCGGGGCCCGCUGGGCUGCGCUGGGCGUCGGGCCGGCCUGCCGGCCGCGCCCUGCGGGUGCUGGUGGACAUGGACGGCGUGCUGGCCGACUUCGAGGGCGGCUUCCUCAGGAAGUUCCGCGCGCGCUUCCCCGACCAGCCCUUCAUCGCGCUGGAGGACCGGCGCGGCUUCUGGGUGUCGGAGCAGUACGACCGCCUGCAGCCCGGGCUGAGCGAGAAGGCCAUCAGCAUCUGGGAGUCGGAGAAUUUCUUCUUUGACCUCGAGCCUCUGCCAGGCGCUGUGGAGGCUGUGAAACAGAUGGCCAACCUGGAGAGCACGGACGUCUUCAUCUGCACCAGCCCCAUCAAGAUGUACAAGUACUGUCCCUUCGAGAAGAAAACACACACGGUCAGCCAACGAUCGGCGCCUCCUGCACUUCACACGGAAGGGAUGCGCCCUCACUGGGGGGUUGUGGGCGCUGGCCUCCACUGUGUGCCUCGUGCUCAGGACGCCCCUCAACCUGCCAGGACCGUGAGUGCAGCUCACCGCGGGGGGCAAGUGACUCAGCUUGGUCAGCACGGGUGGGCUUGGGCCUGGAGGCAUGUCCAGUCCCCAGCAGAGCAAUGAACUGGAGGCUCAGCAUCCCCUGCACCCUGGCUAGAAGUGGGCAUCGUCUGGCCUCUCGCGAGACCCCCAGCAGAAACUCUGGGAGUAGCCAGUGUGUUUCCACAAGCCCCUAGCCUCAACCCAGCACUCCCCUCUGAGCUCCAGUUGGCUCCGACCUGCCGUGUCUGUCCCCGGGGUACUGACGUCCUUGUCCCACGUCCGCCCCUACCUCCGAGGCUGGAAGCACCACCCUUCUUACCCCUCUGUACCUCAGCAAGCCUGCUUCCUGCUGAUGCUGUUUCUCAAGCACACCUCUGUCUACAUGGCCAUCUGGGGAGAAAUGCUGACAUAGCCUCCGGAGCUGCCUGUGCAUUUCAGCUCCACACGCACACCCCCGGGGGUGCGGGACAUGUCCCGCCGGCCCUACUUUAAAGCCUUUAGUUGUCUCUGCAGCAGCUGUGUCACCAAAUGCUGCUCUUCCCUGAGGCCAUGGAAAGACCUCCUCCCUCGAAAGUCUAGUAACUCUUUUGCUGCAUGUGGUUCGGAUUCGGUUUGGGUCGUCUUGACAGAUUCUGGUUCGGGAAUAACACCACCACUUUACCUCGGAUGGCUCUGUGUUCGCCAGGCCGAACUGUUGCCUGCCCAAGUGUCUUCAGGGACCAGAGUUACGACUGGGUGGAAAACGAGCCACCUUCCCUCCCCAGCCCCGCCCCCCCAGCGGUGCCCUCGGACCCCGGCCCCCACCCUGGCCGAGCCCGGGAGUCAGACGAGAGCUCUGGGUCUCAGACCCCCCACCCAGCCUCUCAGGGCCUCUGUCUCAUAACCAGUGCAGUUGUGAUGAUGCCUCCCUGGGUUGUAGGAAGGAUGCAGAAGGCGGCAUUCACCACCUUGCAAGCAGUAAACGUCACCCCUGUGUCUUCUCUUUGGGCCAGAGACCCCCACCCAGCACAAAAGAAAGAACCUCAGUGCGCUUUUCUCAAACUAGAAAGCCUGGGCAGUUUCACGGUUGACUUAUGUUUUCUGCAUUCUUGGAUCCUGGAAAAAUAAGUUAGGUGCAAAGUUGCCUAUACAGUUUAAUUAAAAACUACAUUUUGAAAGGUGGUAAAUUUUUAUUAAAAAAGGGAAGGAAGGAAA
Molecule: RNA transcript, 1989 nt
Organism: Mesoplodon densirostris (Blainville's beaked whale)
Lineage: Eukaryota; Metazoa; Chordata; Mammalia; Artiodactyla; Ziphiidae
Gene: NT5M
Gene name: 5',3'-nucleotidase, mitochondrial
Exons: 5
Source: RefSeq, a predicted model, not a curated record